Molecule: long non-coding RNA, 560 nt
Filed under: Homo sapiens (human)
Lineage: Eukaryota; Metazoa; Chordata; Mammalia; Primates; Hominidae
Description: long intergenic non-protein coding RNA 1378
Source: RNAcentral
CUCUAAUGUCUGACCAAAGUACUGCUGUCUGAGACAUUGGAGGCAUACUGUGCUCCUCUUCUUCCCUCCCUGUGGAGAAGCCUUAAGUUACAUGCCUUCAUCCAGUCUUGCAGAGUUGUGUCUAAUGCAGCAAGAUGCCUGCCUGUUUUCUUUGUUCCUAGCUGUCUCCAGGCAUCCAAACUAUGCCUGUUCCAUCAGUACUAAGGGUGAGGUGAGAGAGAAACUAGUUCCUUGGAUAACACACCAAAUGGCCAGAAUGUUGAAGGCAUAUUUCACUCCUCUUCUUUCUUCCUUGUCGAGAAGCCUCAGGUUCUGCACCUUCUCCGCUUUCUUGCACAGCCAUGUUGGAUGCAGGAGAUGUUACAAGACAAGAUGAUUUCACUGGAAGCUGAGUUUUGCCAGCUUUGGGGAAAUGCUGAUGCAGGUAAAGCGAAAUUUCUCUUCUUACCAAUUUCAAUGUAGCUGUUAUUAAUUUUGUGGUUGUCCAGGCUACUGCAACUUCUUAACAAAAUUCUGGACUUCUUAAAAGGGUAUUUUGGUUUGUAUAUUAUUUUUAAAUC